GACGACGCUGGCGGCGUGCCUAACACAUGCAAGUCGAACGGAGAUUAUAGCAAUGUAAUCUUAGUGGCGGACGGGUGAGUAACGCGUGGGCAACCUACCUCUAACCGGGGGAUAACACAGGGAAACUUGUGCUAAUACCGCAUAAGAUCAUAGGAGGACAUCCUCUAGUGAUCAAAGGAGAAAUCCAGUGAGAGAUGGGCCCGCGUCCGAUUAGCUAGUUGGCGGUGUAACGGACCACCAAGGCGACGAUCGGUAGCCGAACUGAGAGGUUGAUCGGCCACAUUGGGACUGAGACACGGCCCAGACUCCUACGGGAGGCAGCAGUGGGGAAUAUUGCGCAAUGGGGGAAACCCUGACGCAGCAACGCCGCGUGAAGGAUGAAGGUUUUCGGAUUGUAAACUUCUUUGAUGAGGGACGAAAGAAAUGACGGUACCUCAAAAACAAGCCACGGCUAACUACGUG
This 462-nucleotide ribosomal RNA is filed under the name uncultured bacterium. RNAcentral's name for it is "bacterial SSU rRNA". It matches the Rfam family "Bacterial small subunit ribosomal RNA", at positions 33 to 507 of the family's 1533-position model. The record is from RNAcentral.